This 344-nucleotide unclassified non-coding RNA is filed under the name Hevea brasiliensis (rubber tree). The record is from RNAcentral. Lineage: Eukaryota; Viridiplantae; Streptophyta; Magnoliopsida; Malpighiales; Euphorbiaceae.
GUAAGAAGAAAUGGAGGAAUGGAUAAGGAUUCAGACACUCCUUUUGCCAACAACCCCACUAAUGUUGAAUUAUCCACACCUGUUGAGGUUGAAUGGGAUACGUCCAGAAAUGGUUUUGAGGAAGGCAUAAUGUUUGAAUAUGAUGAUUUCCAGUAUGAUGAUAUGGAGUUUGAACCUCAGACCUAUUUCUCUUUCAAUGAAUUACUUGCAUCUGAUGAUUGUGGCCCUCCUGAUGGAUCUGCUAAUUUAACAGACAAUGUUGACACAUCGUUGGGGUUUCCAUCAGAUGGACUUUCUGAUAUGUCUUACUUUCAGCAUGAGCAUGCACUUAGCAUAGAUUCUGC